RNAcentral lists this ribosomal RNA (432 nucleotides) under uncultured bacterium. RNAcentral describes it as "partial 16S ribosomal RNA". It matches the Rfam family "Bacterial small subunit ribosomal RNA", at positions 29 to 507 of the family's 1533-position model. The record is from RNAcentral.
AACGAACGCUGGCGGCAGGCCUAACACAUGCAAGUCGAGCGAGGACUUCGGUUCUAGCGGCGGACGGGUGAGUAACGCGUGGGAAUGUGCCCUUCUCUACGGAAUAGCCCUGGGAAACUGGGAGUAAUACCGUAUACGCCCUAUUGGGGAAAGAUUUAUCGGAGAAGGAUCAGCCCGCGUUGGAUUAGGUAGUUGGUGGGGUAAUGGCCUACCAAGCCGACGAUCCAUAGCUGGUUUGAGAGGAUGAUCAGCCACACUGGGACUGAGACACGGCCCAGACUCCUACGGGAGGCAGCAGUGGGGAAUCUUAGACAAUGGGGGCAACCCUGAUCUAGCCAUGCCGCGUGAGUGAUGAAGGCCUUAGGGUUGUAAAGCUCUUCAGCUGGGAAGAUAAUGACGGUACCAGCAGAAGAAGCCCCGGCUAACUCCGUG